AGCAGCGGCUCCGCCCCCUGCUCGCCGCGCCGGAGGUGAGCAGGAAGGAGACGGCCGCCCAGCAGCCCGUGGGCCGGCGGCGGAGUGAGCGGACCCGGCGGCCGGUUCCGUGGGACGCCGAGGCCUCGGGCGGGGGCCGGCCUGGGGCUCCAGGGGGCUGCACACUAAGCACGAUGAGGCGGUUCCUGAGGUCAGGACAUGACCCUGCACGGGAGAGGCUCAAGCGGGACCUUUUCCAGUUUAACAAGACGGUGGAGCACGGCUUCCCACACCAGCCCAGCGCCCUCGGCUACAGCCUGUCUCUGCGCAUCCUGGCCAUCGGCACCCGCUCGGGAGCCGUCAAGCUCUAUGGUGCCCCUGGGGUGGAGUUCAUGGGGCUGCACCGGGAGAACAACGCUGUGGUACAGAUCCACUUCCUACCCGGCCAGUGCCAGCUAGUCACCCUGCUGGAUGACAACAGCCUGCACCUGUGGAGCCUGAAGGUCAAAGGCAGCGUGUCAGAGCUACAGGAAGAUGAGAGUUUCACACUGCGUGGUCCCCCCGGGGCUGCCCCCAGUGCCACACAGAUCACCGUGGUCCUGCCGCAUUCCUCCGGAGAGCUCCUCUACCUGGGCACCGAGAGUGGGAACGUGUUCGUGGUGCAGCUGCCGGCCUUCCGCACGCUGGAGGACCAGACCAUCAGCUCGGACGCCGUGCUCCAGCGGUUGCCCGAGGAGGCCCGCCACCGGCGGGUGUUUGAGAUGGUGGAAGCUCUGCAGGAACACCCCCGCGACCCCAACCAGGUCCUCAUCGGCUACAGCCGGGGCCUCGUCGUCGUCUGGGACCUGCGGGGCCGCCGGGUGCUCUGCCAUUUCCUCAGCAGCCAGCAACUGGAGAAUGUCUGCUGGCAGCGGGACGGCCACCUGAUUGUCAGCUGCCAUUCCGACGGCAGCUACGGCCAGUGGCCUGUGUCCAGCGACAGCCAGCGAGCGGAGCCGCUGCGCAACUGCGUGCCCUAUGGUCCUUUUCCUUGCAAAGCUAUUACCAAAAUCUUCUGGCUGACCACCAGGCAGGGGUUGCCCUUCACCAUCUUCCAGGGGGGCAUGCCGCGGGCCAGCUACGGGGACCGCCACUGCAUCUCAGUGGUCCACGAUGGCCAGCAGACAGCCUUCGACUUCACCUCCCGUGUCAUCGACUUCACUGUCCUCACUGAGGCGGACCCUGCGGCGGCCUUUGACGACCCCUACGCCCUGGUGGUGCUGGCCGAGGAGGAGCUGGUGGUGAUUGACCUGCGGGCGGCCGGCUGGCCGCCAGUGCAGCCCCCCUACCUGGCCUCCCUGCACUGCUCCGCCAUCACCUGCUCGCACCACGUCUCCAACAUCCCCCUGAAGCUGUGGGAGCGCCUCGUCACCGCGGGCAGCCAGCAGCACACACACUUCUCCACCAUGGAGUGGCCCAUUGACGGUGGCACCAGCCUGGCCCCAGCCCCUCCCCAGAGGGACCUGCUGCUCACGGGGCAUGAGGAUGGCACAGUGCGGUUCUGGGAUGCCUCCGGCGUCUGCUUACGACUGCUUUACAAACUGAGCACGGUCCGGGUGUUCGUCACCGACACAGACCCCAGCGACAACCUCAAUGCCCAGGGCGAGGACGAGUGGCCCCCACUCCGCAAGGUGGGCUCCUUCGACCCCUACAGUGAUGAUCCCAGGCUAGGCAUCCAGAAGAUUUUCCUCUGCAAGUACAGUGGCUACCUGGCUGUGGCGGGCACGGCAGGGCAGGUGCUGGUGCUGGAACUGAAUGACGAGGAGGCGGAGCAUGCCGUGGAGCAGGUGGAGGCCGACCUGCUGCAGGACCAAGAGGGCUACCGCUGGAAGGGCCACGAGCGCCUCUGUGCCCGCCCGGGGCCCGUGCAUUUCGAGCCCGGCUUCCAGCCCUUCGUGCUGGUGCAGUGCCAGCCCCCAGCUGUGGUCACCUCCUUGGCCUUGCACUCCGAGUGGCGGCUUGUGGCCUUCGGCACGAGCCACGGUUUUGGCCUUUUUGACCACCAGCAGCGGCAGCAGGUCUUUGUCAAAUGCACGCUGCACCCCAGUGACCAGCUAGCUUUGGAGGGCCCGCUGUCCCGUGUGAAGUCCCUGAAGAAGUCCCUGCGCCAGUCCUUCCGCCGGAUACGUCGGAGCCGGGUGUCCAGCCGGAAGCGGCGACCAGCUGGUCCCCCUGGAGAGGUGCAGGAGGGGGGCGCCAGGGCCGAGCGGACGGGGGUGCAGAACAUGGAGCUGGCACCUGUACAACGCAAGAUCGAGGCUCGCUCGGCGGAGGAUUCCUUCACGGGAUUCGUCCGGACCCUCUACUUUGCUGACACCUAUCUGAGGGACAGCUCCCGCCACUGCCCCUCGCUGUGGGCUGGCACCAAUGGGGGUACCGUCUACGCCUUCGCCCUGCGCGUGCCCCCCGCCGAGCGGAGAAUGGACGAGCCCGUGCGGGCAGAGCAGGCCAAGGAGAUCCAGCUGAUGCACCGAGCGCCCGUGCUGGGCAUCCUGGUGCUGGACGGACAUAGCGUGCCCCUUCCUGAGCCCUUGGAAGUGGCACAUGACCUGUCAAAGAGCCCGGACAUGCAGGGAAGCCACCAGCUGCUAGUGGUGUCAGAGGAGCAGUUCAAGGUGUUCACGCUGCCCAAGGUGAGUGCCAAGCUGAAGCUGAAGCUGACCGCUCUGGAGGGCUCGCGGGUGCGGCGGGUCAGCGUGGCCCACUUCAGCAGCUGUCGAGCCGAGGACUACGGGGAGCACCACCUGGCCGUCCUCACCAACCUGGGCGACGUGCAGGUGGUCUCGCUGCCCCUGCUCAAGCCCCAGGUGCGGUACAGCUGCAUUCGCCGGGAGGACGUCAGCGGCAUUGCCUCUUGCGUCUUCACCAAAUACGGCCAAGGUUUCUACCUGAUCUCACCCUCAGAGUUUGAGCGCUUCUCUCUCUCCACCAAGUGGCUGGUUGAGCCCCGGUGUCUGGUGGAUUCGACCAAGAGCCACAGCCGCCCCCCCAACGGAUCAGGCCCAGAGAAGGCCUUGGGCCAAGCCAGGAACUCAGGGAGCCAGAGUGAUGGAGAGGAGAGAAGUCCUGGCCCAGUGAUGGAGCACGCUCUGCUCAAUGACGAGAGGGUCCUGAAGGAGAUCCAGAGCACACUGGAGGGAGACCGAGGGAGCUACGGCAAUUGGCGUCCUCAGCAAAUGGCCGUGGGGUAUAGCCUCAGCAAUGGGGGAGUCAGCUAACAUAACUCACACAAAUGGACAAGUGACGUGAAGUUUCCUGCCAAGAAACCAAGAAUUGAAGACCAUGGUAAGAACGCAAGCACCAAGAAAUCAGAAGAAAACGGCACACCAAGCACCUCCAGGGCCCAGAGAGCCUCAUGGCCACAGCCAUGACCCAGCUAACCAGACUGAACAGAAGCCGACCACCACCAUACACACAUCUGAAAAUACCCAGACUCUGCAAACGGAUUUACAUCCACGCUCGCUGAGGACGAGCCUUGCCGCGAGCACAAGCGGAAGGGUUUGGCAUGGUCUAGAAAGUGGAUUAAUGGAAGUUGGGCUGGCAUGGAGAGAGGAGCUGGAGGUCCCUGCAGCUUCCGUCCAGGGAGGGGUGCUGGUAGCCACACGGUGGAGACACUGAGAGGCUGAGUUGACAGGACCUCUGCCAGAAGGUGAGAGAGUGGCAGAGGUCACCGCUGACUCCAAGGCCCUUGCCGACAUUCCACAGGCAGCUGGACACGUAAUCUGAAGACUCGGAUCUGAGGGUCUUCAGCAUUGACAGGGUUUGGGGAGAUUUGAAUGUAAGGCUGCUUGGGAAGAGACCUGAGGCCUGCCACACCCACACGGCUGAGUGAGCUACAAGACCUGGCCUGGAUCAACCCGGAGGCGAGGAGGGCACCAAGAAGGCAAGAGACUGGAGAGGAGCACCGAGCUCUGUCUGCCCAAGAGCUUGCAGGAUACAUUGUAAUGAGCCAGAGAAAGUCCAGCUUGCUGCUGGUGGCAGUCCCUCACACCUAUGCUCCAGAGGGCCUUGGGAGCCAGACUGCCUGGGUUGGCAUCUCAUUUCUCACACUCCCUGUGACACUCAGCUGUGUGCCUCAGUCAUAUCAGGCAUAAAAUGGGAAUUCUUAGGGUACUACCUCUUAGUGCGCUUUCAAGAAUUAAAUGACUCCAGGGCACCUGGGUGGCUCAGUUGUUAAGCAUCUGCCUUCAGCUCAGGUCAAGGUCCCAGGGUCCUGGGAUCAAGCCUCGUGUUGGGCUCCCUGCUCAGCGGGAAGCCUGCUUCUCUCCCUCUCCCACUCCCCCUGCUUGUGUUCC
RNA transcript from Mirounga angustirostris (Northern elephant seal), 4313 nucleotides. It is a transcript of the gene named LLGL scribble cell polarity complex component 2, with no coding region annotated. NCBI's taxonomy places the organism in Eukaryota, Metazoa, Chordata, Mammalia, Carnivora, Phocidae. The record is from RefSeq and is a predicted model, not a curated record. The transcript is spliced from 28 exons.